This is a non-coding RNA of Cyanistes caeruleus (blue tit), 360 nucleotides long. NCBI's taxonomy places the organism in Eukaryota, Metazoa, Chordata, Aves, Passeriformes, Paridae. The record is from RefSeq and is a predicted model, not a curated record.
GAAGAUUUUCUCAGUCUGUGAAGAAUCUCACACUUCAAAUUUCAGUUCACAGGGGCCAGAGCUGAAGACAAUCUCAAACUAGUGAAAAAAAGCCCAACUCAGGAAGCAGGCUGGAGAACGAUAGGAACACCACUGCUGUCAGAGCCAGCAUCUUUUGUGAGAAGGAGACCAGCUCAGCCAACAUUUUAUAAGCCCCCACACAAAAGGGCACAAUAACAGACCCAUCUCUGUAUCAAACAGACUUCUAUUGAAAUUUCCCUGGAGUUUUGCACCUGUUCCUGUUUUUGUGCUGUAUUUGGAAAGGUGCCAUUUGUGGCAGAGGUUUACUUUACUGGUUUUUAUUGCAGCUAGUCACUCAAA